Molecule: non-coding RNA, 26 nt
Filed under: Mus musculus (house mouse)
Lineage: Eukaryota; Metazoa; Chordata; Mammalia; Rodentia; Muridae
Source: RNAcentral
UAGCCUCUGUUCCAAGCCAGUUUCCC